RNAcentral lists this unclassified non-coding RNA (241 nucleotides) under uncultured fungus. RNAcentral describes it as "partial contains 5.8S ribosomal RNA, internal transcribed spacer 2, and large subunit ribosomal RNA". Lineage: Eukaryota; Fungi. The record is from RNAcentral.
AACGCACAUUGCGCCCGCCAGUAUUCUGACGGGCAUGCCUGUUCGAGCGUCAUUACGACCACCCAAGCCCAGCUUGGUGUUGGGGCACUGCAGUGCAGGCUCCGAAAACCAGUGGCGGAUCUGUUGAAUCCCAAGUGCAGUAAUUUUCUCUCACUUAGGGCAUUUUGACAGGCUCCAGCCGUUAAACUGUCAUUUUUACAAGGUUGACCUCGGAUCAGGUAGGAAUACCCGCUGAACUUAA